CUGUUUGUGCUCUUACCAAUGUAAAGGAUGUCACGCUGCCUGCUUAGCGAGUAUCACUUCCUCCCGAUUCGGCCCGUACCUGGCUCGAACCAUCCUCCCUCAGGCAUAUUAGCUGAUCUAAUGCUUGCUAAUGAUUUUACACAAGCGGGACACUUAAGGCUGAGUAAGUUUUACACAUCGUCACGUGCUACACUAACAUGAAAAUGAUACAUGAAAUGAGUUGGCAGCGUCGGUCGAGGGAUACUAACUGAACUAUGCUGAACAAAAAUAUUAAACGCAACAUGUCUGAGAUAUGAUAGUGAGUAAAGAGUUUAUGAGGAAGUACAUCCACAUCGCCAAGGUGUUGAUCCCCACGCUGACCCAGGAAGCGGCCAAUCACAUCGCUGAAGAAUACUCCAGGCUGAGAAACCAGGAACAGCUGGGAUCUGACAUCGCCAGGACGUCCCCAGUAACUGCUCGUACUCUGGAGACCCUCAUCUGUCUGUCUACGGCCCACGCUAAAGCCCGCAUGAGUAAGGCUGUGGAGCUGGAGGACUCUUGAGGUCGCUGUGGAGCUGGAGGACUCUGAGGUCGCUGUGGAGCUGGAGGACUCUGAGGUCGCUGUAGAGCUGGAGGACUCUUGAGGUCGCUGUGGAGCUGGAGGACUCUGAGGUCGCUGUGGAGCUGGAGGACUCUUGAGGUCGCUGUGGAGCUGGAGGACUCUGAGGUCGCUGUGGAGCUGGUUCAGUUCGCUUACUUCAAAAAGGUUCUGGAGAAGAAAAGAGGGAGGAAGGAGUCUGACUCUGAGGAGGAAGAGGAGGAGACAACACAACGUACCCCUCGCUCAGACAAAAAGAGGAGUCGCCGUAGUUCCCAGAGCAGCGCGAGGUCCACGACCCGUAUGACUUCGCUGGAGAGAAGGAGAGUAGGAACCAGAACGCUUCUUUCACUCUAUACAAAGAGGAGCCUAUGGAUGCCCCUGUCCCACCUAGCGAGGACGGACAGACUGACGGACAGACUGAGGUGUCUGUAGACAGGCUGAAGGAGUUUAAGUCCUCUCUCCUGGAGGUGUUCCGUUCCACACAUGCCCAGUCCGGGCUGCCCUCGCUCGCAUGCAGGACGACAACCAGAUCAUGUUGGCUGACGACAUCAUCUUCCUCAUCUGAAGACCUGGGACAACGACAUUAUCAUCCUCAUCUGGUGGAGGGGGAGGAGAUGGAGGGAGAAGGACAGAAGGAGAAGCAAGUCUGAAUGGAAAGAUGUUGUUUCCCGUUUGAGACCAAAAAGGAUGAGAAGGAAUUCAGAAGAAGAAUUUAAGUAGAUUUUCACUGGUUCUUCUGGGUUUUUGGGCCUCUUGCUUCCUCCAGUUAGCCUUUUUGGGCAGCAACCACUUAUGGACUAAAAAGCAGUUUCAACAUUUAGUUUAUUUGCUUUACUCAUGUUUUGGUAUGUACAAGGUCUGGUUACAAUUUAUUAUUAUUAUAAUUUUUUUUUAUUUAACCCGGCAAGUCAGUUAAGAACAAAUUCUUAUUUUCAAUUUGUUAAGUGACUGUCCCACUGGAUGUCAUAAGGUGAAUGCACCAAU
Oncorhynchus gorbuscha (pink salmon) is the source of this 1564-nucleotide long non-coding RNA. RefSeq lists it as uncharacterized. Lineage: Eukaryota; Metazoa; Chordata; Actinopteri; Salmoniformes; Salmonidae. The record is from RefSeq and is a predicted model, not a curated record. The transcript is spliced from 7 exons.